This 460-nucleotide ribosomal RNA is filed under the name uncultured bacterium. RNAcentral describes it as "partial 16S ribosomal RNA". It matches the Rfam family "Bacterial small subunit ribosomal RNA", at positions 338 to 795 of the family's 1533-position model. The record is from RNAcentral.
CCUACGGGAGGCAGCAGUGAGGAAUAUUGGUCAAUGGACGAGAGUCUGAACCAGCCAAGUAGCGUGAAGGAUGACUGCCCUAUGGGUUGUAAACUUCUUUUAUAUGGGAAUAAAACGUUCCACGUGUGGGAUUUUGUAUGUAACAUAUGAAUAAGGAUCGGCUAACUCCGUGCCAGCAGCCGCGGUAAUACGGAGGAUCCGAGCGUUAUCCGGAUUUAUUGGGUUUAAAGGGAGCGUAGGGGGAUUGUUAAGUCAGUGGUGAAAGUUUGCGGCUCAACCGUAAAAUUGCAGUGGAAACUGGCAGUCUUGAGUACAGUAGAGGUGGGCGGAAGUCGUGGUGUAGCGGUGAAAUGCGUAGAUAUCACGAAGAACUCCGAUUGCGAAGGCAGUUCACUGGACUGCAACUGACACUGAGGCUCGAAAGUGUGGGUAUCAAACAGGAUUAGAUACCCGAGUAGUC